GAGGAGGCGAAGCGGACCUUGUAAACGGAGAAGGAGGGAAGGAGGCAUGGGGGGAGGGGGAGAGAGAGGGUUGCGGGCAGGUAGAGAGGCCGCUUUGGCUACCGGCGCUCGAGUCCGCUGCUCAGGGCCUCCGGGUUAGGGGAGGGGAGCCCCGAGCACAGGUUAGACGUCAGGCAGGAGCGGCGGGCGGCGGGCGGAAGCGGGCUCCUGCGGCCGAGGUGGCGCCGGCUCCGGAGCCGGGGCUGUCGCCUCUGCCGCCGGCUACUGCGUGGCCGAUUCGGACAGCAUGAAGACUGGACGCGGCCGCCCUAGCUCAGCGGCCCAGAGCGCCGCGAGCAGCUGCGGGAGCAGUUCCCGCCGGCUACGCUGCAGGUGCACACGCGGGGACUUAGCCUGUUCGGACAGACACCAGUGAGGUAAUGGUAGGCCCUCUGACACAGACGCUGUAGGCAGGUAAAAUGUCCCCGCUUCCGAAAACUCUAUAGUCCCUGCGGCCACCUAAGAUAGAGUAACCGUAAUAGACCCUCCGAUAAAAGAACCAGCCGUGGACGAAACCACUAGUCACCGUAGUUAUGACCCGGUUUGACGCCGAUACUCUACAAGGUGAGAAGACGGUAACGGCGACGUUCUCUCCGGAAUUACACACCCCAUGGAAGUUAACGUUAGAGUAACUUAACCUUCUUCCUACUUUGGUUUCUGUUACUGAAGUUCCUACGUCGACCCGACACAAACGGUGACUAUGUACGACGGAAUCGUCUAUAACUCUUCCCUUGAAAGGAGUUUCCCACGGACGACUUACAACCCCAAGGUUCGAGCGGUCGACGUUUAUUCCCAAAGUUCAACUGGUUCGUUUCGUAUAUGUCAGGACGAGUUUCGACCGUUCGACACAGCUGUUCAUCCGGAGUUGGACGACGAGUGAAGUACCCGUACGUAGUUUCGGAACCAUAAGUCGAGCGUGUCGAACCCUUCCUACGAAGACGUCGUCCUCGACGUGCGUCUCCAUUAUGAGUCGCCUUCUGUCAACUCCAGCUCAGACAACGUCGACGUCCCUUCGUUGUUCGAGCUCUUCAUCACUUCUUUAGAAAGGCACGGCUCAAGUAGCUCUUCGACGUGUUUCUAAACCUACUGCUAUAGCUACACUCUCGGAACCUUUUACCUAAAUAUAGACAGUGAGGAGACUUACACGUGCCGGUACAGCUCGGACUUGAGCUUCGAGGUCGCAGUCUGACCGACAGUCGUCGACACCGACAUAGGCUUCUUUUCCUUCGAGGUCGCUGGAUUGUUUGUACGUCUUUACAUGUGACAUCCACGAAAUCAGGAACGGAACCACAGGUAGAGGAGAGGGGAACGAAAUAACCGAACUAAGAACAGACAGAAAACGUAAGGUACGAACAAGUCACGUCAGAAAUAAAAACAACCAGAAGAGGCUGCCAACGGCUAAAAGAAGCAGUACAUUUUACUAAACUACGACCUCGGGGAUGUCAAAGCUUCACUGGUACAUCCGCUGACGUAGAUGAUCUGCUUAUGACGGUGAGGGGUGAUAAAAAAGUCACACCAAACAAGGUCUUUCCACAACACAGUGGCCUACCCACACUAACUAAAAAACUAAACAUGGAAGACCUGGUACAGCAUGCUUUUAUAAAACUGGAGUACAUUGGACUUUACGUCAAAGUUGUUAAAUCAAACGAC
This 1689-nucleotide ribosomal RNA is filed under the name Triticum aestivum (bread wheat). RNAcentral describes it as "partial small subunit ribosomal RNA". The record is from RNAcentral. Lineage: Eukaryota; Viridiplantae; Streptophyta; Magnoliopsida; Poales; Poaceae.